RNA transcript from Magnolia sinica, 634 nucleotides. RefSeq lists it as uncharacterized. The transcript is spliced from 2 exons. NCBI's taxonomy places the organism in Eukaryota, Viridiplantae, Streptophyta, Magnoliopsida, Magnoliales, Magnoliaceae. The record is from RefSeq and is a predicted model, not a curated record.
UUCUCACUUUAUGGGACCUAGACACAAAUGGUCUUGUAGCUGUAAUUGAAGAUACUCUUACAGUGAUUGUCUGAAUAUCAUUAUCUGAUUGUGUUGUGUGUGUAAAGUAGACAUUUGACGUGGAUCAUUGCUGAAAAAUGAUUGAUGGUUAUCAUACACAUUAAUUUGACGUGGAAGCUUACCAAAAGAGAUGAGGCCUUGGUGCAAAGCAAGAGUGCCAUAGAAAAAGUUGAAUUGUUGAAGAAACGAUGACCAAGAAAAGGAGGCAGUUGAUUGAUAAACAGCCCGAUGGCAGUAGUGGAGGUUAUUCGGGUGGGAUCCGUGAUCUUGAAACACAACUCAAGCUUUAUGGUACGGAUUCCAAAGAACUCAAGUGGAUUUUUCUUUUCUUUUCCUUUUUUCCUUUCUUUCUGGAAGAUGACUUUGAAAUGGCAUUUGGUUGUUUUGUUUCUUUGAAUUUGGCUCUCCAAUGCUAGAAAACGGUAACUUUCAUUUUGGGGUUUUAAAUUCCUAGGGCCUCAACUGCAGAAAUUCAAAACCCAAAUCCAAUUUUUGAUUUUUGGAUUCAAAAUUGUUUGGCAUUUAGAGAGCCAAAGUUUCUAUGGCCUAAACAUAGAUGACUUGACCUUUUGUU